Molecule: ribosomal RNA, 442 nt
Filed under: uncultured bacterium
Lineage: Bacteria
Description: partial 16S ribosomal RNA
Rfam family: Bacterial small subunit ribosomal RNA
Source: RNAcentral
CCUACGGGAGGCAGCAGUGGGGGAUAUUGGACAAUGGGGGGAACCCUGAUCCAGCGACGCAGCGUGAGUGAAGAAGUAUCUAGGUAUGUAAAGCUCUAUCAGCAGGGAAGAAGAAAUGACGGUACCUGAGUAAGAAGCCCCGGCUAACUACGUGCCAGCAGCCGCGGUAAUACGUAGGGGGCCAGCGUUAUCCGGAAUUACUGGGUGUAACGGGAGCGUAGACGGUGAUGUAAGUCUGGAGUGAAAGGCGGGGGCCCAACCCACGGACUGCUCUGGAAACUAUGUGACUGGAGUGCAGGAGAGGUGGGCGGAAUUCCUAGUGUAGCGGUGAAAUGCGUAGAUAUUAGGAGGAACACCAGUGGCGAAGGCAGCUCACUGGACUGUAACUGACGUUGAGGCUCGAAAGCGUGGGGAGCAAACAGGAUUAGAUACCCGAGUAGUC